RNAcentral lists this ribosomal RNA (448 nucleotides) under uncultured bacterium. Its description in RNAcentral is "bacterial SSU rRNA". It matches the Rfam family "Bacterial small subunit ribosomal RNA", at positions 355 to 825 of the family's 1533-position model. The record is from RNAcentral.
UGGGGAAUAUUGCGCAAUGGGCGCAAGCCUGAUCCAGCCAUGCCGCGUGAGUGACGAAGGCCUUAGGGUUGUAAAGCUCUUUUUGGCGGGGACGAUAAUGACGGUACCCGCAGAAUAAGCCCCGGCUAACUUCGUGCCAGCAGCCGCGGUAAUACGAAGGGGGCUAGCGUUGUUCGGAAUUACUGGGCGUAAAGCGCACGUAGGCGGAUGUGCCAGUCAGGGGUGAAAUCCCGAGGCUCAACCUCGGAACUGCCUCCGAUACAGCACGUCUCGAGUCCGGAAGAGGUGAGUGGAAUUCCUAGUGUAGAGGUGAAAUUCGUAGAUAUUAGGAAGAACACCAGUGGCGAAGGCGACUGACUGGACAAGUAUUGACGCUGAGGUACGAAAGCGUGGGGAGCAAACAGGAUUAGAUACCCGCGUAGUCCCUGAGCGGGCUGGCAAGGCGCAU